Molecule: unclassified non-coding RNA, 895 nt
Filed under: Zea mays
Lineage: Eukaryota; Viridiplantae; Streptophyta; Magnoliopsida; Poales; Poaceae
Description: misc RNA Zm00001eb157420
Source: RNAcentral
AAGAAACAGUAGAACAGAAAACUCGUCUUCCAAGCACCACAAGGAAAACCUGCGAGAUGGCAUGGCAGUAGAAGAGGGCUCUGACGCAUCUGCCGCCGCGGCACUUGCUGGACAUUCUCACCAGGAUUAUCCCCAGAGGCAUCAAGAACCCAAACGAAGACCAGUGGAACAGCGCGUGCAGCCUGAGCUGGAACGACACUCCCGGUGUCACCUGGAAGAAAAAAGGCAAGCAACCUGUGCGCUCAGUAAAAACGGAAGGUUUGUUUGUGUUUCCCAGCCAGCAUAUGGCUCAGUCAGAAUCAGAACCAGAAAUCCGAGUGUUACUGGAAGACCUAAAGACGGAGGCUGGAAACGGAGCUCUGCUUAAUUUACCUCCAGAGGAUGGCUGCUGGUCCUGUUGCGGCUCUCGCCGAGAUUAUUCCCCGUGGAGUUCGAUGCGCCAUUGGAUGGCCCGAGGAGUGAAAGAAGCACGAGGCUUGCGCACACAAGGAGGAGCCUUCUUCUCCCUAGCAGCAUCUGUGCUAACCAAUUCUCGACCACCCCUCCUCAGAAGUAAGGCACAGAUACGAACCCUUGUUGCGUGUACUAAACAAUGGCAGGAGUAGAGGAGGAGCAGCAGCAGCAAGCUGGACCUGUAUGGCUGUAUCUCUGCCCUGUAUACUCUCCACUCAUGCCCACCUCAAAAAUCCAGGGGCAUCUUUUUUUUCUUCCAAACUUCUGAAAUGCUCAGGCCUUUUACCUCGCAAAACGCUCUACUAGACCAGCAGGGAAACUAAACGAAACCAAUCCGAAAAUGAAUAAAAAGCAGCACAAAAGCAGCUUGGAUGGGGCACAGCCGCACAAGAUUGCCCUGAAGCUUGUGGAAGGUUUUGGUAUGGUAUGAUGAUCAUGGAAG